AUAUAUGCCGUCCAUCUCUGUAUGUGCAUCAUUCCAUCUCAGAAUAUGUGUCACCUAAGAAGUCUGCUUGAUACCAUUGAUGACCAUGACUUCCUGUUUUCAGAAAGUAUUAAUAAGUAACAAACCCUCAGCAGUAUAUCAGUACCAAGAAGGAAGGAAGCAAAAAAGCUGUCACAAAUGCUCCUCAGCCUGAAUGAAGAAGGUAGAAAAAUAUAAGAAGAAAGAAGAUGCAGCAGUAAUAAGAAUUAAAGAAGUAAAAAAGGCCUGUUCUAUUGUGGAUCCUUGUAAUUUCUUGAUUUACGACAUGUUCCUUGAAACUCACCAUUCUGCAACGUAAUUCUUCCCUUCAGAAGAACAGAAAGGGCCUCCUAAAGGCCAAUUUGGAUACAUUCCCUUGAACUGACAGACAAGAAGUAGCUUCAUUUUCUUCUGCUACUUGAGAUCCUGAAUGGUAGAAACACCCAGCUUAAAAUACUGCAGUUCUCUGAGACCUUCAGGGGUGAAGCUUUUUAGCAAAUUUUGCAUUUCAGGCAGGUACCUGCAGUAAUUGCUACCUCUCUACUAAUAAUCCAGCCACAAGAAUGAGAAGUGAAAAGCAGGACAUGUUCUGCAGCUGGCAUCAAAGGAUACAAAAAACAUUCUGACCAAUAUCAUUUAACAAAGAUCAUUCAGCAUUGUGUUGCAUAAAUUAAUCAUGUAUUAUAAUUCAUUUUGGAAGGUCUUUAAAUUGGCACCUUUGGGCUGCUGACAGAUGUGGGGGGAAAAAACAGCCCUUACGGGAAGAGGAACUGCAUUAGUUUGACCCAG
Long non-coding RNA from Alligator sinensis (Chinese alligator), 807 nucleotides. RefSeq lists it as uncharacterized. The record is from RefSeq and is a predicted model, not a curated record. NCBI's taxonomy places the organism in Eukaryota, Metazoa, Chordata, Crocodylia, Alligatoridae. The transcript has 3 exons.